RNAcentral lists this long non-coding RNA (307 nucleotides) under Setaria viridis. Its description in RNAcentral is "long non-coding RNA (SVIR_LNC002214)". The record is from RNAcentral. Lineage: Eukaryota; Viridiplantae; Streptophyta; Magnoliopsida; Poales; Poaceae.
AUUCUAGCAAUUUACUUGUGCUUCCUGCUCAAUCUACUUGGGCAUGUCAUUACUGUGUGCUGGGACAUGUUCAUCCUGCUAAAUAUCAUCUACAAGCUACACUCCUCAAGUUUGGACAUUGUUAGUCAGUUGCACUGCACCAGACCAAUCUGACCGGCCUGUCCGGCAGCAAAAACUUAAGUGGUUUGAAUUUGGGUAAAAAUUAUCAAUUCGCCUAUUCACCCUCCCCUCUAGGCGACAUCAAGAUCCUUUCAACAAUGUAUAUCCCAAUUUUCAAAAAUCUAAUGAAAGUUUUAUGUCAAGCUUA